GGGCUUGUGGUCUAGUGGUAUGAUACUCCCUUCGCAUGUCCAAAGAGACGUCUUUGGAGGAUAGUAUGAUUGGGAGGGGUCCGGGGUUCAAUUCCCUGCAAGUCCA
Ustulina deusta is the source of this 106-nucleotide non-coding RNA. NCBI's taxonomy places the organism in Eukaryota, Fungi, Ascomycota, Sordariomycetes, Xylariales, Xylariaceae. The record is from the annotation of a GenBank genome assembly.